This is a long non-coding RNA of Mizuhopecten yessoensis (Yesso scallop), 473 nucleotides long. RefSeq lists it as uncharacterized. Lineage: Eukaryota; Metazoa; Mollusca; Bivalvia; Pectinida; Pectinidae. The record is from RefSeq and is a predicted model, not a curated record. The transcript is spliced from 3 exons.
CCUGGAGCUUUGAAAUAAGUCAAAUUUUAAAGACAUAUUCAAACAUUCGAGUGACUUUGACAUUGAUGCUCCUGAAGGUUAUCGACUGAAAAAUAAUGGAUACAAGACUGCCAAUCAUUUAUCAAGCAAAAAUAACAAGAUAUGCAGGAGAGUUGAUUCCACCGCAUGGUUCAGGUGCAUCCAAUAAGUGCCGGGGUCUGGAGCAAGAGUACUACACCUGUAUUAGUAACUAUGGCUUUGAUGUCGGAAAAGACAAAUGUGCUGCAGAGAAGAUGAACUAUCAAGAGUGCAGAGUUCAAAUUAAAGCGAAAAAGAGAAGAAUUGCAAUGGAUUCCGAGAGACAUAAACAGGGGAAGGAGGUCCUUCCAGAUGGACCCGCUCAUCUGCAUGCUACUCCAUUCUAUUGAUUUGUAAUACCAUGAAACUCUUAAUUACCUGAAUUUUAUAGGUCAAUAAAAUAUAUUUGAAAAAUG